Small nucleolar RNA from Zingiber officinale, 100 nucleotides. RefSeq annotates it as small nucleolar RNA SNORD90. Lineage: Eukaryota; Viridiplantae; Streptophyta; Magnoliopsida; Zingiberales; Zingiberaceae. The record is from RefSeq and is a predicted model, not a curated record. The transcript has a single exon.
GACGAAAUUUGGGACGAAUCCACAAUUCGUCCCAGAUUCUGGGACGAAUCCACAAUUCGUCCCAGAUUUUGGGACGAAUUUUGUGGAUUCGUCCCAAAAU